Molecule: long non-coding RNA, 1491 nt
Organism: Talpa occidentalis (Iberian mole)
Lineage: Eukaryota; Metazoa; Chordata; Mammalia; Eulipotyphla; Talpidae
Exons: 3
Source: RefSeq, a predicted model, not a curated record
AUUAAAGGUAAUCUUAUACCUUUAUGAGAAAAUAAAGUAUUUUAAGAGGACAAGAGAAUAUAUGGCUAUCCACGGGUUUCUUUCAUGGCUGUGAGUUAUGUACAGAUAACUUGCUGUGCUCACCGUUUUCCCAAAUACGAUGAGACCUCUGGGGAAAGUCUGGCUGGCACUCUACCAUUAGGGAGUUUUAUGUCUCGCGGUGUCUUAGUCUGCUCAGGGCGCUCUAGCAAAAUGCCACAGAACAACAGAAACUUAGUUCUCUCAGUUCAGGAGACUGAAAGCCCAAGGGCAGUUUCAGAUCAGGUGGCAGACCUCGUUCCCAUAGGGCAGAAGGGCCAGGGAGCUUUGAGGGGUCUCUUAUAAGGGCACAGAUUCCCCCCCCCAGCAGGUCUCCACUCUGGUGUCCUCCCAGACACCCACCUCCUAACCCUGAGAAUUACAGUCUCAACAAUGAAGGGGGGGGUCACAUUCCAUCCCGUCUGUUCUAAGUUCCACACUCAGGAUUUUGUAGUACCCAACCACAGGCCAAACUUUUCUCCACAAAAGCCAGUGACAAUGUCUUUCCUUCAGGGGGCUGGAACCAUCCUUCCACAUCAGAGUCUGAGAUUCUGUAUUCUUGAUCUACUGUCUUGGGGCCAGAGUUGACAUUUUCACGUGCAGUGCAACCACUCACUCUUCUGACUCCCGACGCCAUCCCGGGCACAAUGCUAAACCAUGCUACCAGCCAGCUAACGGUAGCAGCUGACGAAAGAGAAAACACUGACUUGACUAAGUUUGGAGUCUCUCUCCUCCACAACUUUCACCAGAAUCCAGUAGUUCCUGGGGCUCUGCAGGUGUCAGCCGCCUUCCUCAGAAGAAAGCUCCUGAAUGUUGACUAAGUGAAAUUUCUCCCUUUGUUGCCCUGCGUGUGCCUCACACUGUUUUGUUCUUUUGGCCCAGAAACAGAAAAGAUAGUGCUAGAGGCAGGAAAUGGGUUGCCCUCCUGGAAAUUCAAUGACCAGCUCUUCCCCUGUGACGUGUGUGGGAAAGUGUUUGGCCGCCAGCAGACCUUGUCGCGGCACCUGUCGCUGCACACAGAGGAAAGAAAAUACAAAUGCCACUUGUGCCCCUAUGCUGCUAAGUGCCGUGCUAACCUGAACCAGCACCUGACCGUCCACUCGGUGAAGCUGGUGAGUACGGACACCGAGGACAUCGUCAGCGCCGUCACCUCCGAAGGCAGUGACGGGAAGAAGCACCCGUAUUACUACAGCUGCCACGUGUGCGGAUUUGAGACCGAGCUCAAUGUCCAGUUUGUCAGCCACAUGUCGCUCCAUGUGGACAAGGAGCAGUGGAUGUUCUCCAUCUGUUGCACCGCCUGCGACUUCGUCACCAUGGAGGAAGCGGAGAUCAAGGCUCACAUCGGCACCAAACACACAGGUGACCAUCCCUCGGCCCCCUCACCCUUCUGCGCUCCGGCCCCGGGCACCCAGGUGCCACCCACCUGGCAGGAGC